RNAcentral lists this ribosomal RNA (405 nucleotides) under uncultured bacterium. Its description in RNAcentral is "partial 16S ribosomal RNA". It matches the Rfam family "Bacterial small subunit ribosomal RNA", at positions 30 to 526 of the family's 1533-position model. The record is from RNAcentral.
AUUGAACGCUGGCGGCAGGCCUAACACAUGCAAGUCGAACGAGUGGCGGACGGGUGAGUAAUGUAUGGGAAUCUAGCUUAUGGAGGGGGAUAACUACGGGAAACUGUAGCCAAUACCGCGUACCAUCGGAUGAGACAAAGUGGGAUUAGGUAGUUGGUGAGGUAAAGGCUCACCAAGCCGACGAUCUCUAGCUGGUCUGAGAGUAUGAGCAGCCACACUGGGACUGAGACAGGGCCAAAACUCCUACGGGAGGAAGCAGUGGGGAAUGUUGCGCAAUGGGGGCAACCUGACGAAGCAAGGCCGCGUGGAUGAGAAAGGCCUUCGAGUUUUAAAGUUCUUUCAGUGAGGAGGCGUUAGCUACAGAAGAAGCACCGGCUAACUCCGUGCCAGCAGCCGCGGUAAUAC